Molecule: non-coding RNA, 84 nt
Filed under: Clostridium sp.
Lineage: Bacteria; Bacillati; Bacillota; Clostridia; Eubacteriales; Clostridiaceae
Also listed under: 1 other name
Description: c-di-GMP sequence
Rfam family: c-di-GMP-I riboswitch aptamer
About the family: GEMM was predicted in a large-scale screen for bacterial structured RNA regulatory elements. Genes associated with GEMM are involved in a diverse array of functions, including chemotaxis regulation, signal transduction, secretion and chitin.
Source: RNAcentral
UAAGUAAAAUGGCAAAUCCGCCGAAAGACGGAGACGCAAAGCCAAGGGGCUAAACCCGACAGGGCAUGCCAGCCGGUUGCACUU